AGAGUGAUCCGUCAGCUGCGUGAGCGUGGCCUAGGGAACAGUCCAUCAAGGAUUAUUCUCCAGCUAAAGGAGAACCACAGCGAGGAGUGGCUCCAGCGGGUUGCUCGGUACACAGCACAGUGUGCAGCUUUCAUGGAUGCCUCUAGACUGCUGCAACCACAUUUCCAGGAGCCCCCAGUAUCAGCGGUGUUACCAAGCUAUAAGUGGCUCCUUGUUGUGUACAGUCAAGAUAUCCUGAACAGGCUGGAGGAUAUUAAGGCUAAGAUAACUUCAGUCUAUGGAUGCAUUUUAAAAAUGGACUCUACUAAGACGGUUAGAAUUUGAAUAGCUCUCAUCUUCCAAAUAAUAUACACUCAAUCUUUACAUAAAUGUUCUGACGGUUUUUGAAUUUUCAGAUCACCAAGAAGCUCAGUGGAACUGCCAAGGGCACUGCCCGGUGGCUGACUUCUGUGGGGAACGAAAUGGGUCAGGUACUCAUUAGUGUCCUAACAGCCAGUGAGGGUCCAGCAUUGGAUCUUAUGGCUGCAGGCCUGAUGGACAGGUACCAGAGCGCAGGUAUGGAUCCUCCUGUUGCACUUUAUGUGGACAACGGCUGCUGUAAAGAGGUGGGCGAGACCAAGAGCAAGGCCAAAUUUGGGCGGUGGCCAAAUUUGAUUGUCCGUCUAGACAUUUGGCAUUUCAUGCGUCGUUUGGCAGUGGGAUGUACUACUGAUGCACAUCAGCUGUACCCCACCUUCAUGGCACGCAUGUCAGCCUGCAUAUUUGAGUGGGAUGCAACAGAUGUGGCGGAGCUCAGAAGGGCCAAGAGGGCACAACUGUUGCAGGAGGGCUGGCCCGCUCUCUCUGACCAGGAGUUGGACAAACACAUCACACAAGACGAGCUUGCGCUGCACUGCAGGAGACGGACCCGUGGAGAGGAGACAUCCAUCCAACUCCUUGAUCAGCUUCUUACGGAGCUCAUGACUGGCAAGGGGAAUGAUGCACUGGGUGUUCCGCUUCUAGACACUGUUAGGAUGCAGCACAUCUGGCGCAUCCAAAGGCGGCAUGUGAGGUGCAUCCAGGACCCUCCUGGCUUGGCUUUAUACACGGAGACUGGGAGCACUAGAAAGGGAGGAGUGGUAUUAAAAACAUUCCGCUGUGCCAGGGGUUCCACGUCUCUGGAAUCGUUUCACUGCCAUUUGAAUCGAUUCAUUCCAGGGAACAGUGCGAACCUGCUGAACUACCAAAUCUACCUUUUGGAAGGACUCAGUCGCUGGAAUCAAGACCGGGCCGCUGCUGCUGUCACAUCUGAACCUUCAACUUUGCGCACGUACGCAGGGGAGUUGGUUCAUUGUGUGAACAGCAACUACGAGAAGGUGUUUGGCAGGAAACUUAUUCCAGGGUUUUCACCACCUGCAAAAUACACAGGUAGUGUCAAAAGUGCCUGUGUGCAUUGUUUUUAUUUGAGUUUGGGAUGGUUCUGUUAUUCAAAAUUUCCCAAUUUAAUAUUUGUCAGGAGAACUCAUUGGGGUGCAGUACUUGCUGAGGCAGAAUAAUGAACCUCUACAAGACAUGCACCCCAAUUCUGAGGAGACAUCCCAGUUGAUGGAGGACUUAGAUGUUGAGGAGCCAAAAGAUCCAGAUGAGGGAUUUGAGGAUUUUUUGGGAAGUGAAGCAACAAUUGUGGAUCUGAUGGUUUCUAAUCCCAUCAAAGAAAUCUACCCUCCUCCAGCUGUUCUUUGUCCUUCAGCAGUGCCUCCUCCACCUUCAGCAGUGCCUCCUCCACCUUCAGCAGUGCUGGGUUUUUGCCUGCUUACGGGUCCUGUAAAAACCCAAACCUUAUCAGAUUAAACUUAAAACCUUCCAUUUCCAUUUAUUAUCCUAGACAUAAUUACCAUAUUUAGGAGGCCGUCUAAUCAUUAGGUUAACAUCUUAGUUAUGCUGCUAUAGGCUGAGGCUGCCGGGGUCCAGAAACAUAAUCACCUGACAGGCCUCUGUCACCCUGCUGGGUCAUGGCUUCCUCUCCUCUCCUCCUCUCCCCUCCUCUCCUCUCCUCUCCUCUCCUCCACACCUAGUAGAUCAGUGAUGUUAUUUCUUGUGUAGUUUUUCUGUGAGCCAGUCUCGGGGGUUCGGCGGGGCCUCCGCCACGGAGGGGAAGACACACCCGACUCAUCGUGUCAGUUGGUGAUGACGCCCCGCUUGGCCGUCACUGGCUGCAGAUGAUCACGUUACAUUGCUUGGCCGAUCAGUGCUGCAGGGAAUCUGGUGCUCAGUAGUCAACGUGUGACUGACGUGGUACUACGUCGUCUGAUUUCGUCCUUAAUAUUUUAAUCCAUACUAACUAUGUAGUGGUCAGACGAAUACGUACAACAUGGAUUCACAUGUAUCACGGAACGUGAUGGGAGUCAGCGUCCCAUCUGCAUGAUUUGCAAUGUUGAGCAACUCUGGUCUCGCACCGGCAAAACUACAGGAGCAUUUCCUGAAGCUGCAGAUGGGGAAUACAAGAACACAACGCCUGCUGAAUUCAAGGUGAAGAGAGCCAGAUUCGAUGAAAAGGCCACUCUGCCUUCUUUUGGAUUUGUACCCACUGACAAACCGAUCCUCACAGCAUCGUACGAAGUUGCUUCCCUGAUCACAAAGCAGGUUAAGCCACACACCACCGGUGAAACACUCAUAAAACCAGCUGUGUUAAAGAUGGCGAAUCCGAUACUCGGAACAGCGGCCGAAGGUAAAUUAUCCCAAAUUCCUCUUUCAAAUGACACCAUCAGCGACAGAAUAGAGGACACGAGUAAAGACAUCUUGGCUCAAUUCAGCCUUCAACUCGAUGAGACCACAGACGUUUCUAAUCUAAGCUAGCUUGCUGUUUUUGUGCGCUAUAUAAAAGACGACAUGACAAAAGAAGAUAUUUUAUUUUAUAAGCCUCUUACAACAACAACUAAGGCAGCCGAUGUGAAGAAGCUUGUGGAUAACUUCUCCAGAGAUGACAAUCUUUUAUGGGAUGUGGUUUCUGCAGUUUGUACGGACGGAGCUCCAGUCAUGCUGGGAAGAGUCUGGUUUUGGUGCGUCAGUGAGGGUCGAUGCACCGCACAUCAUUGUCACGCAUUGUAUUCUGCGCAGGUGUAACAGGGCCUUUGUGUCAUAAUAUGUUAUGGGGCGUUUAAUUACACAAAAUAUGGUCCAUACAGAAUUUCCGGUGUCCUGCAUUUCUUCUUCUGUGGUGUCCCCUAUAAAAGUGAUAGUGAUCCUUCCGCCUCUCCCCUUUUGCAAUAUACUCUUGUGGGAGAGGCGGGUGUCUCAUUUUCCAUCACAUCAAUUCGGAUUAGUUACGUUUGGUUCUCUGUUCAUACAUUUAUGUAUUCUAAUUGAUUGUUUGAUGUGUUUGUUUAUUCAUGUUAUAAAUACAAUGAACAUACCAGCACUUAAAUAUGAAGUUUAAACAGUUUCGACCGUUAGCUUACUUGCCAUGACGAGUUUCGCUAAUGUACGUCUUCCCGCCUUGUGUGUGUCUAGGAACUGAAGCGGGCUGCUAACUGUUUAUUCGUAUUUUUAUUUGUUGCUGUCAGAAUAAAAAGAUAAUCCUGGACACGAGAGUCUCAUUAAAACACAACGCGGAGUUCCACCAGUUACACAGGCAUGCGCUGGCAACAAAAACCUCGCCUCCAAAACUGGCAGAAGUGUUAAAAACUGUAGUGGAAGGUGCGAACUAUGUGUGAAAUAGUGCUGCGAGGCUCCGCAUCUUCAGUGAGCUGUGUAAAGAAACGGGCUGUGAAUCUGAGGUCCUGCUGCACCGUCCUAAUGUUGGGCGGUUGUCCCGGGGACAGGUGCUGCACCCUGUUUUUGCCAUGCGUGUGGAAUUAGCCCUGUUUUUGCAAGAACACCAGCUUUGUCGUGCAGAUUGCUUCAAAGAUUCUGAGUUCAUUCUCAUUUUAGCAAUUUCCACGCACUGAGAUGAGCUUGCAACGUCUCUGGGCGGACACUCCCCUACAGGAGCGUCAUCUCCAGCACGGGUGAGACAGCGUCCACGUUUGCUGUUGGGACAGCAGGUGUCGAUGAUGAAUACCUCGACGGAAUCAUUGAAAUUCAGCAGGUUCAACAGCAACUCUUCAGAACAAGAACGCUCUCAACGUUUUGGUGUCAACAAAGGGAAAAGGAUCCAGUUAUUGCUAAUAAAGCCCUGGAAUCUUUUAUAGCAUUUGUUACAACAUGUCUUUGCGAGCAAUCCUUUUGGAGGAUGCUGGACGUAAAAACGAAGAAAAGACUUUGCUGUGAAAAUGACACGAGAGCGGCGCUUGCCAAGGUGAAGCCACGCGUAUCUGAACUGGUCUCCAAGGCAACAGCAGAAGUCACACUGGUUUGCAGUCGUGCAGAUUGUUGUGAGUUCAAGCACUGUGGGUUUGUUCUUUGAACAAGGUGAAAAUAAACAUUUACAUUAAGAAGGUUUGGUGAAUGUGCAUAUGGAACUGGUGGGGUUCGGUACCUCCAACAAGGUUCAGGACCACUGAUCUACACGUAUCGCCGCCUUCACAGCUGCAUGCUGACCUCCUGACCUCCGACCCCACUGACCCACUCAAUUCUAACUGCAGUUUAUUAUCAUUAAUAUAAUUCAUGUAUUUCCCUGAUCUCUACCUAUUCUCUCCUCUACCUGUCCUCCCCCCUCUCCUCUCCUCUCCUCUCUCUCUAUCCAGCCCCCCCAUCAGCAGGAGGGUCCCCCUACAUGAGCCUGGUCCUGCUCAAGGUUUCUUCCUAUUAAAGGGGAGUUUUUCCCUGCCACUGUUGCUUGUUGGGGGUCAGGCCAUCAGAUUCUGUAAAGCGCCUAGAAACAAUUCUGAUUAUAACAGACGUGAUAUAAAAAAAGAUUGAUUGAUUGAUUUGGGUUUAAACAUGAGCGUGACCUUUAAUAAUGGGGGUGUUGGGUCUUUAUUCAGCUUUUAGCCAAUCAAUAAUGUAUCUCUGGAUGAUGUGUUCACAUUAACUGUUGUGUAAACUCAUAAUUUAAGGGCACAUUUAAAGGGUUUGUUUAAAAGAUGUUAAAUAUAUAAUAUUACUUGACGGGACGGAACACGAGGAGACACCACUGACCCACGUUGACCACAAACCGACCAGACGCUGGUGAUCGGGAGGCGGCGGCUUUUGAAGAGUGGAGAUCGGUGACCAGCUGCAGGUGUGACGGUCACCUGAGAACCCAGGUGGAUCCGCCACGCCCCCUAGUGAGAAAACCAGGAACACAAACAGGCACCAACACACAAUUAUCUCUGUUUGGUCAGAUUUCAAGUUAAUUUAUUUCUGUUAAUUUAAUAUGUAAUAAAUGAGUUUAACUGCUGGCUAAACUGAGUUCCAUCCAGUCUUCCUUUGGGUUUUAUUAGUUUUAUAUCAUUUGAUCAAAGGUGUCGAUGACCCUGUGAUUGUGAGUGUGUGUCCACCAGUUUGUCCUUCAGGACUUCAUGGACUGGUGUGAAGGAUCUUUGUUAGAAAUGUGUCCAAACCCAAAGAAAUGAUCACUAACUUUUAUUCAUUAACCAGACAAAGUGGUUGAAAAUACAAAAUCUUGGUGGAUUUAUUCUGUAAUAAAUCACUUUGAUGUCAACAAGACACCAGCAACACACGAGCUUUUAGAUAUUGAGACGUUUUUUAGUAACAAAUCUUUAUAUGGAUUCUAUUUCUUAAUGCUUUUAUUAUCAUCACUUGAUUAUUGUUAUUUUGUUUUUCAUUUACUGGCUGUAAAAUUGUCCCACUGAAUUAAUAAAAUGACCUUGUGAAUUUGCAACUAUGUAAAAGAAUUCUGCUGGAAAAAAAACUCUUCAAACAGAAAAAUAAACAAGCUGCAGUUUAAAGUUCGUUGGUUCCUAAUUUGGACCUGUGAUCCCUGAAUAAUUAUCAAAGGGAAAAUCUCAGUUCAGAGAGUGAAGACUUAUUUUAAUAAAGUGUGUGUUCACCCAGAACUCUGAAUCCCAGUAAACUCCAGAUGUUUGAGGGAACAUGAAGACCUCCGCUGCAGCUUUCCAACAGUUUUCAGAUUUUCGCCAGACUGAAACUCGGAGGUCAAAAGUUGAAAGAGUCAAAAGUUUUAGGAAAUUGUGUGAGAACGUUGAGUGUAGUGAUCAGACACUAGAGAGAGC
Long non-coding RNA from Takifugu rubripes (torafugu), 6095 nucleotides. NCBI's taxonomy places the organism in Eukaryota, Metazoa, Chordata, Actinopteri, Tetraodontiformes, Tetraodontidae. The record is from Ensembl.